RNAcentral lists this long non-coding RNA (735 nucleotides) under Pan troglodytes (chimpanzee). RNAcentral's name for it is "long non-coding RNA NONPTRT003100". Lineage: Eukaryota; Metazoa; Chordata; Mammalia; Primates; Hominidae. The record is from RNAcentral.
CACAGGCCAGGUGGAAAGACUCAAGCGGGUGAUUAUUUGCAUCCAAUGCUACUGAUAGGACUGGGCAACCCAGGUCACUGGCAACUGUGGAAAGGAAACUUUUGGUGGGAUUGUGAGGAAAAAACUGGAAGGGAGUGGGCAGAAGUGGAGACGGGGAACACACACAGCUCUUUGGAAGAGUUUUGCUGUAAGGGGAGCAGAGACAAGGCAUGGCAGCUGAAGGGAAUCUGGAAGUCUCUGGUCUUUGAUAUUGAGCUAUACCCACUUGGGAUGCAUGUAAGUGGGUGGAAAGUCCUGGCAGAGGGGAGAACCCGCGGUGCAGGAGAGAGGGCGACUGUAGGAGAAAAGCCCUCAAGGAGUGAAGAGGGAUGGGCCCCGAGGAUGGGAGCAGGGUGGGACAUUUAUUGCCACAGAAGGGGAGGCUGAGGAUAUGGUGUCAGAUGCAGACGGGCUGAGAGUUCACCCUUCACCCUCUCUCCUAGCUCUAAGCCAGAACCUAAGAGGGCCAGAAGCUGGGAUCCAAGUCUACUUGUCCCACCCCCUCCACUGGAACUCCCUGGCCCCCAGCUCUGCACAGCUCCUGCCCUGCAGCCCUCGCCUGGCUGUGCUCCGGGAAGGCCUCGUGGGCACUUCACCCUGCUCUGCAGCCACACUCACACCCUGGAUCCAGGUCACACUAGCGGCAAAGACCCCACUGGCUCGGACUUCACCAACCUGGAGCAGGGGAGAGAAGCU